GACGAAGGGGGGCUAGCGUUGUUCGGAAUUACUGGGCGUAAAGCGCGCGUAGGCGGUUCUUCAAGUCAGGCGUGAAAGCCCCGGGCUUAACCCGGGAAUAGCGCUUGAUACUGUGGGACCUGAGUCCGGGAGAGGAUAGUGGAAUUCCCAGUGUAGAGGUGAAAUUCGUAGAUAUUCGCAAGAACACCAGUGGCGAAGGCGGCUCACUGGCUCGAUACUGACGCUGAGGUGCGAAAGCGUGGGGAGCAAACAGGAUUAGAACCGGUACCGUCGUA
This 275-nucleotide ribosomal RNA is filed under the name uncultured bacterium. Its description in RNAcentral is "partial 16S ribosomal RNA". It matches the Rfam family "Bacterial small subunit ribosomal RNA", at positions 524 to 792 of the family's 1533-position model. The record is from RNAcentral.